UAAGCGACUAAGCGUACACGGUGGAUGCCCUGGCAGUCAGAGGCGAUGAAGGACGUGCUAAUCUGCGAUAAGCGUCGGUAAGGUGAUAUGAACCGUUAUAACCGGCGAUUUCCGAAAUGGGGAAACCCAGUGUGAUUCGUCACACUAUCAUUAACUGAAUCCAUAGGUUAAUGAGGCGAACCGGGGGAACUGAAACAUCUAAGUACCCCGAGGAAAAGAAAUCAACCGAGAUUCCCCCAGUAGCGGCGAGCGAACGGGGAGCAGCCCAGAGCCUGAAUCAGUGUGUGUGUUAGUGGAAGCGUCUGGAAAGGCGCGCGAUACAGGGUGACAGCCCCGGACACAAAAAUGCACAUACUGUGAGCUCGAUGAGUAGGGCGGGACACGUGGUAUCCUGUCUGAAUAUGGGGGGACCAUCCUCCAAGGCUAAAUACUCCUGACUGACCGAUAGUGAACCAGUACCGUGAGGGAAAGGCGAAAAGAACCCCGGCGAGGGGAGUGAAAAAGAACCUGAAACCGUGUACGUACAAGCAGUGGGAGCCUCUUUUAUGGGGUGACUGCGUACCUUUUGUAUAAUGGGUCAGCGGCUUAUAUUCUGUAGCAAGGUUAACCGAAUAGGGGAGCCGAAGGGAAACCGAGUCUUAACGGGCGUUAAGUUGCAGGGUAUAGACCCGAAACCCGGUGAUCUAGCCAUGGGCAGGUUGAAGGUUGGGUAACACUAACUGGAGGACCGAACCGACUAAUGUUGAAAAAUUAGCGGAUGACUUGUGGCUGGGGGUGAAAGGCCAAUCAAACCGGGAGAUAGCUGGUUCUCCCCGAAAGCUAUUUAGGUAGCGCCUCGUGAAUUCAUCUCCGGGGGUAGAGCACUGUUUCGGCAAGGGGGUCAUCCCGACUUACCAACCCGAUGCAAACUGCGAAUACCGGAGAAUGUUAUCACGGGAGACACACGGCGGGUGCUAACGUCCGUCGUGAAGAGGGAAACAACCCAGACCGCCAGCUAAGGUCCCAAAGUCAUGGUUAAGUGGGAAACGAUGUGGGAAGGCCCAGACAGCCAGGAUGUUGGCUUAGAAGCAGCCAUCAUUUAAAGAAAGCGUAAUAGCUCACUGGUCGAGUCGGCCUGCGCGGAAGAUGUAACGGGGCUAAACCAUGCACCGAAGCUGCGGCAGCGACACUGUGUGUUGUUGGGUAGGGGAGCGUUCUGUAAGCCUGUGAAGGUGUACUGUGAGGUAUGCUGGAGGUAUCAGAAGUGCGAAUGCUGACAUAAGUAACGAUAAAGCGGGUGAAAAGCCCGCUCGCCGGAAGACCAAGGGUUCCUGUCCAACGUUAAUCGGGGCAGGGUGAGUCGACCCCUAAGGCGAGGCCGAAAGGCGUAGUCGAUGGGAAACAGGUUAAUAUUCCUGUACUUGGUGUUACUGCGAAGGGGGGACGGAGAAGGCUAUGUUGGCCGGGCGACGGUUGUCCCGGUUUAAGCGUGUAGGCUGGUUUUCCAGGCAAAUCCGGAAAAUCAAGGCUGAGGCGUGAUGACGAGGCACUACGGUGCUGAAGCAACAAAUGCCCUGCUUCCAGGAAAAGCCUCUAAGCAUCAGGUAACAUCAAAUCGUACCCCAAACCGACACAGGUGGUCAGGUAGAGAAUACCAAGGCGCUUGAGAGAACUCGGGUGAAGGAACUAGGCAAAAUGGUGCCGUAACUUCGGGAGAAGGCACGCUGAUAUGUAGGUGAAGUCCCUCGCGGAUGGAGCUGAAAUCAGUCGAAGAUACCAGCUGGCUGCAACUGUUUAUUAAAAACACAGCACUGUGCAAACACGAAAGCGGACGUAUACGGUGUGACGCCUGCCCGGUGCCGGAAGGUUAAUUGAUGGGGUCAGCGCAAGCGAAGCUCUUGAUCGAAGCCCCGGUAAACGGCGGCCGUAACUAUAACGGUCCUAAGGUAGCGAAAUUCCUUGUCGGGUAAGUUCCGACCUGCACGAAUGGCGUAAUGAUGGCCAGGCUGUCUCCACCCGAGACUCAGUGAAAUUGAACUCGCUGUGAAGAUGCAGUGUACCCGCGGCAAGACGGAAAGACCCCGUGAACCUUUACUAUAGCUUGACACUGAACAUUGAGCCUUGAUGUGUAGGAUAGGUGGGAGGCUUUGAAGUGUGGACGCCAGUCUGCAUGGAGCCGACCUUGAAAUACCACCCUUUAAUGUUUGAUGUUCUAACGUGGACCCGUGAUCCGGGUUGCGGACAGUGUCUGGUGGGUAGUUUGACUGGGGCGGUCUCCUCCUAAAGAGUAACGGAGGAGCACGAAGGUUGGCUAAUCCUGGUCGGACAUCAGGAGGUUAGUGCAAUGGCAUAAGCCAGCUUGACUGCGAGCGUGACGGCGCGAGCAGGUGCGAAAGCAGGUCAUAGUGAUCCGGUGGUUCUGAAUGGAAGGGCCAUCGCUCAACGGAUAAAAGGUACUCCGGGGAUAACAGGCUGAUACCGCCCAAGAGUUCAUAUCGACGGCGGUGUUUGGCACCUCGAUGUCGGCUCAUCACAUCCUGGGGCUGAAGUAGGUCCCAAGGGUAUGGCUGUUCGCCAUUUAAAGUGGUACGCGAGCUGGGUUUAGAACGUCGUGAGACAGUUCGGUCCCUAUCUGCCGUGGGCGCUGGAGAACUGAGGGGGGCUGCUCCUAGUACGAGAGGACCGGAGUGGACGCAUCACUGGUGUUCGGGUUGUCAUGCCAAUGGCACUGCCCGGUAGCUAAAUGCGGAAGAGAUAAGUGCUGAAAGCAUCUAAGCACGAAACUUGCCCCGAGAUGAGUUCUCCCUGACCCUUUAAGGGUCCUGAAGGAACGUUGAAGACGACGACGUUGAUAGGCCGGGUGUGUAAGCGCAGCGAUGCGUUGAGCUAACCGGUACUAAUGAACCGUGAGGCUUAACCU
RNAcentral lists this ribosomal RNA (2899 nucleotides) under Escherichia coli B26-2. RNAcentral's name for it is "bacterial LSU rRNA". It matches the Rfam family "Bacterial large subunit ribosomal RNA". Lineage: Bacteria; Pseudomonadati; Pseudomonadota; Gammaproteobacteria; Enterobacterales; Enterobacteriaceae. The record is from RNAcentral.